GGUUAAGCGACUAAGCGUACACGGUGGAUGCCCUGGCAGUCAGAGGCGAUGAAGGACGUGCUAAUCUGCGAUAAGCGUCGGUAAGGUGAUAUGAACCGUUAUAACCGGCGAUUUCCGAAUGGGGAAACCCAGUGUGUUUCGACACACUAUCAUUAACUGAAUCCAUAGGUUAAUGAGGCGAACCGGGGGAACUGAAACAUCUAAGUACCCCGAGGAAAAGAAAUCAACCGAGAUUCCCCCAGUAGCGGCGAGCGAACGGGGAGCAGCCCAGAGCCUGAAUCAGUGUGUGUGUUAGUGGAAGCGUCUGGAAAGGCGCGCGAUACAGGGUGACAGCCCCGUACACAAAAAUGCACAUGCUGUGAGCUCGAUGAGUAGGGCGGGACACGUGGUAUCCUGUCUGAAUAUGGGGGGACCAUCCUCCAAGGCUAAAUACUCCUGACUGACCGAUAGUGAACCAGUACCGUGAGGGAAAGGCGAAAAGAACCCCGGCGAGGGGAGUGAAAAAGAACCUGAAACCGUGUACGUACAAGCAGUGGGAGCACGCUUAGGCGUGUGACUGCGUACCUUUUGUAUAAUGGGUCAGCGACUUAUAUUCUGUAGCAAGGUUAACCGAAUAGGGGAGCCGAAGGGAAACCGAGUCUUAACUGGGCGUUAAGUUGCAGGGUAUAGACCCGAAACCCGGUGAUCUAGCCAUGGGCAGGUUGAAGGUUGGGUAACACUAACUGGAGGACCGAACCGACUAAUGUUGAAAAAUUAGCGGAUGACUUGUGGCUGGGGGUGAAAGGCCAAUCAAACCGGGAGAUAGCUGGUUCUCCCCGAAAGCUAUUUAGGUAGCGCCUCGUGAAUUCAUCUCCGGGGGUAGAGCACUGUUUCGGCAAGGGGGUCAUCCCGACUUACCAACCCGAUGCAAACUGCGAAUACCGGAGAAUGUUAUCACGGGAGACACACGGCGGGUGCUAACGUCCGUCGUGAAGAGGGAAACAACCCAGACCGCCAGCUAAGGUCCCAAAGUCAUGGUUAAGUGGGAAACGAUGUGGGAAGGCCCAGACAGCCAGGAUGUUGGCUUAGAAGCAGCCAUCAUUUAAAGAAAGCGUAAUAGCUCACUGGUCGAGUCGGCCUGCGCGGAAGAUGUAACGGGGCUAAACCAUGCACCGAAGCUGCGGCAGCGACGCUUAUGCGUUGUUGGGUAGGGGAGCGUUCUGUAAGCCUGCGAAGGUGUGCUGUGAGGCAUGCUGGAGGUAUCAGAAGUGCGAAUGCUGACAUAAGUAACGAUAAAGCGGGUGAAAAGCCCGCUCGCCGGAAGACCAAGGGUUCCUGUCCAACGUUAAUCGGGGCAGGGUGAGUCGACCCCUAAGGCGAGGCCGAAAGGCGUAGUCGAUGGGAAACAGGUUAAUAUUCCUGUACUUGGUGUUACUGCGAAGGGGGGACGGAGAAGGCUAUGUUGGCCGGGCGACGGUUGUCCCGGUUUAAGCGUGUAGGCUGGUUUUCCAGGCAAAUCCGGAAAAUCAAGGCUGAGGCGUGAUGACGAGGCACUACGGUGCUGAAGCAACAAAUGCCCUGCUUCCAGGAAAAGCCUCUAAGCAUCAGGUAACAUCAAAUCGUACCCCAAACCGACACAGGUGGUCAGGUAGAGAAUACCAAGGCGCUUGAGAGAACUCGGGUGAAGGAACUAGGCAAAAUGGUGCCGUAACUUCGGGAGAAGGCACGCUGAUAUGUAGGUGAGGUCCCUCGCGGAUGGAGCUGAAAUCAGUCGAAGAUACCAGCUGGCUGCAACUGUUUAUUAAAAACACAGCACUGUGCAAACACGAAAGUGGACGUAUACGGUGUGACGCCUGCCCGGUGCCGGAAGGUUAAUUGAUGGGGUUAGCGCAAGCGAAGCUCUUGAUCGAAGCCCCGGUAAACGGCGGCCGUAACUAUAACGGUCCUAAGGUAGCGAAAUUCCUUGUCGGGUAAGUUCCGACCUGCACGAAUGGCGUAAUGAUGGCCAGGCUGUCUCCACCCGAGACUCAGUGAAAUUGAACUCGCUGUGAAGAUGCAGUGUACCCGCGGCAAGACGGAAAGACCCCGUGAACCUUUACUAUAGCUUGACACUGAACAUUGAGCCUUGAUGUGUAGGAUAGGUGGGAGGCUUUGAAGUGUGGACGCCAGUCUGCAUGGAGCCGACCUUGAAAUACCACCCUUUAAUGUUUGAUGUUCUAACGUUGACCCGUAAUCCGGGUUGCGGACAGUGUCUGGUGGGUAGUUUGACUGGGGCGGUCUCCUCCUAAAGAGUAACGGAGGAGCACGAAGGUUGGCUAAUCCUGGUCGGACAUCAGGAGGUUAGUGCAAUGGCAUAAGCCAGCUUGACUGCGAGCGUGACGGCGCGAGCAGGUGCGAAAGCAGGUCAUAGUGAUCCGGUGGUUCUGAAUGGAAGGGCCAUCGCUCAACGGAUAAAAGGUACUCCGGGGAUAACAGGCUGAUACCGCCCAAGAGUUCAUAUCGACGGCGGUGUUUGGCACCUCGAUGUCGGCUCAUCACAUCCUGGGGCUGAAGUAGGUCCCAAGGGUAUGGCUGUUCGCCAUUUAAAGUGGUACGCGAGCUGGGUUUAGAACGUCGUGAGACAGUUCGGUCCCUAUCUGCCGUGGGCGCUGGAGAACUGAGGGGGGCUGCUCCUAGUACGAGAGGACCGGAGUGGACGCAUCACUGGUGUUCGGGUUGUCAUGCCAAUGGCACUGCCCGGUAGCUAAAUGCGGAAGAGAUAAGUGCUGAAAGCAUCUAAGCACGAAACUUGCCCCGAGAUGAGUUCUCCCUGACCCUUUAAGGGUCCUGAAGGAACGUUGAAGACGACGACGUUGAUAGGCCGGGUGUGUAAGCGCAGCGAUGCGUUGAGCUAACCGGUACUAAUGAACCGUGAGGCUUAACCUUAC
Molecule: ribosomal RNA, 2906 nt
Filed under: Escherichia coli
Lineage: Bacteria; Pseudomonadati; Pseudomonadota; Gammaproteobacteria; Enterobacterales; Enterobacteriaceae
Description: 23S ribosomal RNA
Rfam family: Bacterial large subunit ribosomal RNA
Source: RNAcentral